UGGCCUUUGGUUUAAAGUUUCUUUAAGUCAAUAUCCUAAUGGCGACGUUGGCAAUAAUGACGGAAGGCUAGACGUUUCCAAUUUCACGCGUAUGAUUUUGAGUCUUCUUCUUAUAUAUGAUUCAUAUCGUGUUACAAAUUAUUAAGUUGGUAAGCUAUAUUUAAAUUAAUCUGAAUCCAUAAAAUAUAUAUAUAUAUAUAUAUAUAUAUGCAAAACUAUUAUUUCUCAUAUUAUAGUUUGCAUCAUUAAUUUUUCCCAUAAAAAGAAAAAUCAAAUUAAUACUUUUUUAAUUAAAAUAAAAGUACAAUCCAAAAAUUCCCAAUCCUCUCCCCUAAAAAGGUUUUCCCUAUAAUUUUCACCAAUGAACACCCCCCUCAUAAAACCUUUCCAAGAAUAAAUACACAACUAUUUGUGAUUAAAAAAUUAAAAAAAAAAAAAAAAAAAGGGCAAUACUAAUACUACUACUUCUGUUUAUCGGGAUUUGUCAUCCAAUAUCACACUGUUCAAUCUUUUGUAUUUUAACCUGUAUAGAUAUUGGUGUUACAAUUAACUAACGGGGCUAUAUAAAUAUAAAGCUCCUCUUAAGAGAUGAGAUCCAUGAGGAGUUUAAUUGGAGGGCAGCAAAGAUGGCUCAGAAGCUCUCUCUUAUCCUCGUUAUUGCCCUCUUAAUUUGUGUCCAGAUGGGAGCUGCCAACCGGGAAAUCAUCCUGUCCGAAGAGAAGGAAAGACACCUCAAACAGUACUUCCAUGUGCGUAAACCCCUGCGCCCUCCUCAUUGCCCACCAAAGGAACCAGUUCCUCCGAAGCGGAGGCCGAGUCCAUCACCACCUAGGCGAUGCCCCCCGGCCUAGACUCCAGGCUGAAACUGGACCCCAUGCAGUUACUUAUGUUAAUUUAAAGAGCUGUAAUUAUUAGUUGUGUUCUUCAUUCUCGAGUUACUUGUUCUUUGAAUUAUUUUUUUAUUUGCAGCUGAUCCCGAUUUAAAAGGCUCUGAAAAUAAGCUGUUCAUUUUAAAAAUGCAAUGGAUAAUAAAUUAUUCAAA
Molecule: long non-coding RNA, 1042 nt
Organism: Carya illinoinensis
Lineage: Eukaryota; Viridiplantae; Streptophyta; Magnoliopsida; Fagales; Juglandaceae
Exons: 2
Source: RefSeq, a predicted model, not a curated record